UUCCUACAAAUAUAAAAAUAAAAGGUUAAUGCCAUGUCUCAAUUUUUAAACAUACAUUUUUUUAUCAAUCACAAAAGGAAAAGGGCAAAAAAAAUCUUUACAACAAACAGAUUUGAAAUGUCUUAACCAGAGUCCCAAGUGGCAAUCAGUCAGAUAUUGAUGAUAAGUGAUAACCAAUUUCCCAAUGCACAACAGAACAUUCCCCAGCCAUGGAACAAAUAAAUACAGUUCGAAUUGAAAUCAUGAUGAUAACAAGGUUAAGAAUUGGUAUGUUCAAAUUUAUCAAACAAAUUCACCAAAUCAAACCAGCUUGAGUAAGAAUCAUUCCCACUGGUUAAAUACUGUGAGAGCAACUCCAACAGUUUGGGAUUUUUUAUUUCCCAAAUCUUGGUGUUUGGCAACUCCCCAAAUGUUUUAGCAAAGAAAAAAAAGGUCAAUCUCCAAUAGUAUCCCAUAAUUGACUUGCCAAAUGAAAAGCUAGGCCCACAAUGUUGUUGUUUGCCAUGGAAAACUUUCUUGCGCUCGCGAACUCCUUCACCUAAGCACGCGAAACACCGCUGCCAUCACGCAUCUGUCGUCGACGGUUCAUUCUCGGUGGCAGGAUCGUCGAAUGGGGUUGUCCUCUUUCAGCCGCCCACAAGAGCUCCCAGGCAACGUCCGUAGACAGCCAUCCACGUCGCCAACAAACCAGCAGCUAGCACAAGAAAUUUACAAUCAAGCAGACCAGUAGCUGUGGUUCAACAGACCAGCAAGGAGACAAAGCGUGCAGUCCAACAGACUAGCAAGGAGACAAGGCAGAGCAGCAGCUGUGGUCCAAAAGCCUUCGCGCGCGGGAAGAAGGGCGGCAACGCGCGCGGCGCGUGGAUGCGCAGUCGCGAGGUGCGCGCAUAUAUGCGCGCUGGUGAAGGUUUUUUGCCAACUUGGCAAAGAUGGGGAGGAGGGAUGGGAAACUAUUGGAGAGUGUUUUUUCUCAAUUUGCCAAAAAAAUAAAGAUGGGGAGGAGAGAUGGCAAACUGUUGGAGUUGCUCUGAACAGGUGUCAGCUAUGGUCUAACAGUGUUUGAUAAAUGGAAAUCUGGACCUCUGGUCUUAAUUCAGAGGCCCUAUAGAGUGCUCUAAAAGCUACCUCCUUGAAUAAUAAGUAAUAUAUAGCAAAUAGAGUGGAGUGGAACCAUGUGCACUGUUUAAAGAGAAGAUUGUAGUCAACAUUCCUAGACUGCAGGGGUGGAGGCUUAUGGAGGCGAAACUCCCCCCCCCCCCCCCCCCCUCUUCCUCUGUGCUUUGGGCCUUUGGUGCCUAGUAAUCCUAGCUUUGGUAGACUGUAAUCUCAUGAAUGCUCAGACUGCAGCAAUAGUGAUAUCUAAAAAGCUUUCAUAGCUAGGAGCAGCAAUGGUUUUUUCGAUUUGCCCCUCAAUCUUGGUUCACCCUCCGCCACUGCUAGACUGCACUAGUCUGUAACUCAUAGAAACAUGUCAAUAUACAUUUAAACCAAAAAUAACAUAGAACAAAAUAAGAAGACUAAUAUGUGCAUAGUAGAAUGACAAUUAUAGAUAACAAAAGGACCAAUACAUGACUGUUCCUGUUUCAUAACAGCAUUAAAUGUUGACAGUUCAAGUGACAAGAACACAUUGCUCAAUUCAAGUGCACCAAAAGCUUAC
This 1657-nucleotide long non-coding RNA is filed under the name Sorghum bicolor (sorghum). RNAcentral describes it as "long non-coding RNA (SBIC_LNC008546)". The record is from RNAcentral. Lineage: Eukaryota; Viridiplantae; Streptophyta; Magnoliopsida; Poales; Poaceae.